This 312-nucleotide ribosomal RNA is filed under the name Pseudopedinella elastica. RNAcentral describes it as "partial Bacterial small subunit ribosomal RNA". It matches the Rfam family "Bacterial small subunit ribosomal RNA", at positions 1 to 345 of the family's 1533-position model. Lineage: Eukaryota; Dictyochophyceae; Pedinellales. The record is from RNAcentral.
UUGAGAGUUUGAUCCUGGCUCAGAACGAACGCUGGCGGCAGGCUUAACACAUGCAAGUCGAGCGCACUCUUCGGAGUGAGCGGCGGACGGGUUAGUAACGCGUGGGAACGUGCCCUUCUCUAAGGAAUAGCCACUGGAAACGGUGAGUAAUACCUUAUACGCCCUUCGGGGGAAAGAUUUAUCGGAGAAGGAUCGGCCCGCGUUUGAUUAGAUAGUUGGUGGGGUAAUGGCCUACCAAGUCUACGAUCUAUAGCUGGUUUUAGAGGAUGAUCAGCAACACUGGGACUGAGACACGGCCCAGACUCCUACGGG